RNAcentral lists this transfer RNA (76 nucleotides) under Elstera litoralis. RNAcentral's name for it is "tRNA-Ala". It matches the Rfam family "tRNA". Rfam says of the family: Transfer RNA (tRNA) molecules are approximately 80 nucleotides in length. Their secondary structure includes four short double-helical elements and three loops (D, anti-codon, and T loops). RNAcentral also lists the same sequence under 4 other names. Lineage: Bacteria; Pseudomonadati; Pseudomonadota; Alphaproteobacteria; Rhodospirillales; Rhodospirillaceae. The record is from RNAcentral.
GGGGCCGUAGCUCAGUUGGGAGAGCGCUGCAAUCGCACUGCAGAGGUCGUGAGUUCGACUCUCAUCGGCUCCACCA